CCGGACUCGGGGCUCCCUGCCCGGGCUGCAGCCGCACUCAGCCCCGCUGCCGGAGGACGCGGCCGGAGCAGGAACCCGAGAGCUGUGGGCACAGAUGAGAUGAGACCCAGGCCAAGGCAAGUGUGACAAGAUCAGAUUCCCCUGGGCUGAGACAUUUUCCCCUCUGGAUUUCCCUGGCCAGAAAACAAGGAAUCCCAAACUGGCAGCUGGCUGAGCUGAUGAAGAAAGCAGCACAUUCUUGACCCAAAUCAGGGAGAAAGCUGGGAUAUAAAGUUGGGAUAAAGCUGACCCACCUGGGAUAAAGCUGGGAUAGAGCUGACCCACCUGGGAUAGAGCUGGGAUAAAACUGACCCACCUGGGAUAGAGCUGACCUGUGCUGGAGGCUGCAGCUCCUGCUCUCCACUGCUGAGUGUCCCCCAUGCCUGCAGCACCCAAAGGUGGCUCCUGGAUGUGACAGGGCACUCCUGAAUCUGCUUCUCCAGGAUCCUGAGAACACUCCCGAGUCCCAAUGAGGCCCAAGCUGAGGGAGGCUCCUGGAGCUGCCCUUGUGGCCCCAGCAGAGUACGAGAACUUUGCUGCUGUGAACUCCACCGGGGACACGGAGAGCGAGCAGCUGCAGGGCUCCCUCUCGUCCACCAUCGCCCUCAUCGUGGUGCUGGCCAUCCUCUUCUCCCUGGUCAUGACGUCCCUCGUCACCUACUGCUUCCACAAGUGGAAACUCAGAGGGAGAAGACUGCAGAAAGCACAAGAGGAGUAUCAGAGAGACCAAGAAAAGAGCAUUUGCCAAAGCACACCUGAACUUGUUUCAUAAAACGAGGAAACCAGGAUCCACCAUGAUGAAGGACUCUUGAAUUACCUGCAAAUGAAAAUCGUGAGAGAACUGCAAAUUUGGGAUUUCCAAGCAAACUCAUCGUUGUUUUAUCUCAUUUCUAAGAGUUGUUAGCAGUUUGGAGAUUUCCUACAGUUUAUUAUACAUAUACAUAUAUAUAUUUAUACAUUUAGUCUCAUUUGUGCAAAGUAAAACCAAUGCAAUGAUGUAUUUUUAAUCUCUUCUGUCAUUUUAAUCCUCACUGGGCAAACUGGCAGUGCCUGUGAGGGUGGGGAGGCCCUGGCACAGGUGCCCAGAGAAGCUGGGGCUGCCCCUGGAUCCCUGGCAGUGCCCAAGGCCAGGCUGGAGCAGUCUGGGGACAGUGGGAGGUGUCCCUGCCAUGGCAGGGCUGGAAUGGGAGGAGUUUUUAGCUCCAUUCCAACCUUAACCAGAAUUUUCUGUACAUUUUUUCACAAUUUCCAGUAUUGCAAGUAUUUCAAAUAUUCCAAAUUUCACUCUGUUGCUCUCAGUCUUUCACAGAGCCCCUAGAAAGUGAAGAGGUAGAUUUGGGGUACCCAGGGGGGCUGAGCUG
Molecule: long non-coding RNA, 1400 nt
Organism: Melozone crissalis (California towhee)
Lineage: Eukaryota; Metazoa; Chordata; Aves; Passeriformes; Passerellidae
Exons: 3
Source: RefSeq, a predicted model, not a curated record